UAAAGCUUUAAAAGGUCAGUCAUGG
Molecule: unclassified non-coding RNA, 25 nt
Filed under: Mus musculus (house mouse)
Lineage: Eukaryota; Metazoa; Chordata; Mammalia; Rodentia; Muridae
Description: piRNA piR-mmu-68539734
Source: RNAcentral